Molecule: unclassified non-coding RNA, 253 nt
Filed under: uncultured Verrucomicrobiota bacterium
Lineage: Bacteria; Pseudomonadati; Verrucomicrobiota
Description: uncultured Verrucomicrobia bacterium contains 16S-23S intergenic spacer region
Rfam family: Bacterial small subunit ribosomal RNA
Source: RNAcentral
UACAGAGGUCUCGAGCGUUGUUCGGAUUCAUUGGGCGUAAAGGGUGCGUAGGUGGUGAUGCAAGUCUGGUGUGAAAUCUCGGGGCUUAACCCCGAAAUUGCAUCGGAUACUGCGUGACUUGAGGACUGUAGAGGAGAGUGGAAUUCACGGUGUAGCAGUGAAAUGCGUAGAUAUCGUGAGGAAGACCAGUUGCGAAGGCGACUCUCUGGGCAGUUCCUGACACUGAGGCACGAAGGCCAGGGGAGCAAACGGG